UCUUGGACCUGUCCUGAAGGGUGAGGAUUGGUGCGGUCGUUGGUCCUGAAAAGGAAACAAAAGGGCGAACCCACGGAGGAGGAUCGGUGACCAAAUCUUCCCACACGAUGAUAUAUGGCAACUCCUGACAGACAACUCCUUCACAGAGUCUUCAGAACUGAAACCAAGCUGAUCAGCGGCUGAUGAGAGUCAGAGAAAGUAGAGAGGCACAGACAAGACAGACACAGAAAACACAACCGAGGUACUUGGCUCAAGACUUUACUGCAGAGCCCCUCGGCAGCCGGUCAUUGUCCACAGAGAAUGGCCACAUCGGCCUCCUCCCAUGUGUGCAACUGAGUCAGGGAGGCUGGCCAGAAUGGGGGACGCCAGAGACCUCUGCCCUCACCUGGACUGCAUAGGGGAGGUGACCAAAGAGGAUUUGCUGCUUAAAUCUAAGGGAACCUGCCAGUCAUGUGGGGUUGCUGGACCUAACCUAUGGGCUUGCCUCCAGGUCACCUGCCCCUACGUUGGCUGUGGAGAGUCCUUUGCUGACCAUAGCAGCAUUCAUGCGCAGGUGAAAAAGCACAACCUGACUGUGAACCUGACCACGUUCCGGGUCUGGUGCUAUGCCUGUGAGCGCGAAGUCUUUCUGGAGCAGCGUCUGGCAGUCCACCUGCCCAGCUCCUCAGCCAGGCUCUCAGAGCAGGACUCCCCACCACCUUCCCACCCUCUGAAAGCUGUCCCUAUUGCUGUGGCUGAUGAAGGAGAGUCUGAGUCUGAGGAUGACGACCUGAAGCCGCGAGGCCUCACAGGCAUGAAGAACCUGGGGAACUCCUGUUACAUGAAUGCUGCCCUGCAGGCCUUGUCCAAUUGCCCCCCGCUCACCCAGUUCUUCCUGGAGUGUGGUGGUCUGGUGCGCACAGACAAGAAGCCAGCCUUGUGCAAAAGUUACCAGAAGUUGAUCUCUGAGGUGUGGCACAAGAAGCGGCCAAGCUAUGUGGUCCCCACCAGUCUGUCCCAUGGGAUCAAGUUGGUCAACCCGAUGUUCCGAGGCUAUGCCCAGCAGGACACCCAGGAGUUCCUACGCUGCCUAAUGGACCAGCUUCAUGAGGAGCUCAAGGAGCCCAUGGUCGCUGCUGUGGCAGCACUCACCGAUGCUCGGGACUCCGAUUCCAGUGACACAGAUGAGAGGCGUGAUGGCGACCGGAGCCCAUCAGAGGACGAGUUUCUGUCCUGUGACUCGAGCAGUGACAGGGGUGAGGGUGAUGGGCAGGGGCGUGGUGGAGGCAGCUCUAAGGCCGAGAUGGAGCUGCUGAUCUCAGAUGAGGCAGGCCGAGCCAUCUCUGAGAAGGAGCGGAUGAAGGACCGCAAGUUCUCCUGGGGCCAGCAGCGCACCAACUCAGAGCAAGUAGAUGAGGAUGCAGAUGUGGACACGGCCAUGGCCUCCCUUGAUGAGCAAUCCAGAGAGACCCAGCCACCAUCACCAAGAUCUGCCAGCCCCUGCCAGACCCCAGAGCCAGACAAUGAAGCCCACAUACGCAGCUCCUCUCGUCCCUGCAGCCCUAUCCACCACCACCAUGAGGGCCAUUCCAAGCUGUCCAGCAGCCCUCCUCGUGCAAGCCCCGUGAGGAUGGGGCCAUCGUACGUGCUCAAGAAAGCCCAGGUGCCAAGCACUGGUGGCCGGAGGCGGAAGGAGCAGAGCUACCGCAGUGUCAUCUCAGAUGUCUUCAAUGGCUCUGUCCUCAGCCUGGUGCAGUGUCUUACCUGUGACCGGGUGUCUACCACAGUGGAGACGUUCCAGGACCUGUCAUUGCCCAUCCCUGGCAAGGAAGACCUAGCCAAACUCCACUCUGCCAUCUACCAGAAUGUACCAGCCAAGCCUGGAGCCUGUGGGGACAGCUAUUCCUCCCAAGGCUGGCUGGCCUUCAUCGUGGAGUACAUCAGACGGUUUGUGGUAUCCUGUACCCCCAGCUGGUUUUGGGGACCUGUUGUCACACUGGAAGACUGCCUCGCUGCUUUCUUUGCUGCUGAUGAGCUGAAGGGUGACAACAUGUACAGCUGUGAGCGGUGUAAGAAGCUUCGGAACGGCGUGAAGUACUGUAAAGUCCUAUGUCUGCCUGAGAUUCUAUGUGUCCACCUGAAGCGCUUCCGGCAUGAGGUGAUGUACUCCUUCAAAGUCAGCAGCCAUGUCUCUUUCCCUCUCGAGGGACUGGACCUACGCCCUUUUCUGGCCAAGGAGUGCACGUCCCAGGUCACUACCUAUGACCUCCUCUCUGUCAUCUGUCAUCAUGGCACAGCAGGCAGUGGGCACUACAUUGCUUACUGUCAGAACGUGAUCAAUGGGCAGUGGUACGAAUUCGAUGACCAGUACGUCACCGAGGUCCAUGAGACAGCGGUACAGAAUGUGGAGGCCUAUGUGCUGUUCUACAGGAAGAGCAGCGAGGAGGCCAUGCGUGAGCGGCAGCAGGUGGUGUCCCUGGCUGCCAUGCAGGAACCCAGCCUGCUCCGCUUCUACGUGUCCCGAGAAUGGCUCAACAAGUUCAACACCUUUGCAGAGCCGGGGCCCAUCACCAACCACACCUUCCUGUGCUCCCAUGGAGGUAUCCCACCCAACAAAUACCACUACAUUGAUGACCUGGUGGUCAUUCUGCCGCAGAGUGUCUGGGAGCACCUGUAUAGCAGGUUUGGGGGCGGCCCUGCUGUGAGCCAUCUGUAUGUGUGCUCCGUCUGCCAGGUGGAGAUCGAGGCCCUGGCCAAGCGCAGGCGGGUGGAGAUUGACACUUUCAUCAAGCUGAACAAGGCGUUCCAAGCUGAGGAGUCUCCCGCGGUCAUCUACUGUAUCAGCAUGCACUGGUUCCGAGAGUGGGAGGCCUUCGUCAAGGGGAAGGACAGCGAACCUCCCGGACCCAUCGACAACAGCAGGAUUGCCCAGGUCAAAGGCAGUGGCCAUAUCCAGCUAAAGCAGGGGGCUGACUGUGGGCAGAUUUCUGAGGAGACCUGGACCUAUCUGAGCAGUCUGUAUGGGGGCGGCCCUGAGAUCGCCAUCCGGCAGAGUGUGGCCCAGCUCCCAGACCCAGAAAGCUUGCACGGAGAGCAGAAGAUUGAGGCUGAGACCCGGGCUCUGUGACUUGGGCCAUGCUGAGUUGCUGUGGCUGGCCCUACUCCCUCUCCAGACAACCCUGCAUCCCUCUGAAGGCCGCGUCCUGCUGAGUUCCCACUGUCCCUGAAGGCUGGUAUUCGACAUUCCCCAGAGGGUGUGUCUGCCCUGCAGCUGAGCUGCCGUGUGCCUGCUACAGAGGCUGAGAGCGGCUGGUCCGCCCUGAGAGAUGCUAUGCUGGGAAAUAUAUCCGCUCGGACUUCUGAGGACUCUGACUGUCAUCGCUGUGUCCCCAAAUUUGCCCUCUUGCUAACUUGGGCCCAGCUUUUGUCCCAGGAGCCCCAUGCUGCCCUUAGAUAAUGCUGACCCCUGGGAUGGGGGCCAGGAGCAGCUGCAACCUUUUGGGUAUUAUCUGCUGUAUACUUGGCCCAACCCCUUGGGGACACAGAGAAGUAGAUGUCCAUGCACAGGGGCAGAAUGGAUGUGGGGCUCUUUGUGUAGGCCAGCAGCCCCUAUAUCACAAUGGAGGCCCCGCUGCUCAUGUUUGUCCUGUUGACUGUUGCGGGACAGAGAAAGGGCAAGCUUUGCUUUAGAGGGUAGAGGACCUGCCACAUUGUCCUGCUGAGACCACUGGCAGAUCAACUGUCAUUUACUCUGUGAAGAGGCUCCUAAGACCCUAGGGGGAGGGAAAACAGAUACCUCAUGCACUGGCCCACAGUUUGAUGCUUCUUCAUCCCUCUGUGCGGUCUAGAGUGAGCCUGGUCCCUGACCCAACCCCCUAGCCUUGGUGUCUAGAGCCAACUCUGCGAUAUGAUCUGUGGCCACUCAUACAGGCAUGUGUCUAGAGUGUCCUGCUAGGCUGCUGCAGAGGUCCUGGGACCUGCUGAGCCUAGAGAGACUCCUGUGUCUGAGGUCCUGGGGAAACCUAACAGAACUUCCAGGGCAGGGCGUUCAAAGCGAAGUCUGGAGUGGCGAGGGGGAUCCUGGGACCAAGAGGGCUCCAGUGGCCACCUGUCUCUUUAGAGCUUGUACUGUGACACUGUGGCGUCUGCCUUCAGUGGUGAUGAGCACAGCCUGGGACCCCGUGGAAGCUUCUGGGAAGAGCUGAUGGAACACUUGAAACCCCAGCUGUGUCUUUACUGGAACCCACCAACCACACAGGGGUCCAGCAGGGAUGUGCGAGUGGCCAGCACAUCCCACAUGUUGGCUUCCCAACUCUAGUCCCAUCUAUAUUUGCUUUCUGGGGAAGAAGAAUUAGAGUUUUAUUACUUUAAAAGCAUUGAGGUAGAGACUUGGGGUGUAGCUCAGUGGUCAAGCCUGUUAUGGGUCCCAGGUUUAAUCAGUCCUGUGUGGGAGAGUUGACUGAGGCCAUUGAUGUCCCAUCAUACUGAAGGGCUUAGGAACACAGAAUGGAAACCAAGGUUAAAGCCUUCCCAAAGCCAGAAGUAACGAUGCACUCCUCUAGCUCAGCAUUUGCAAGGCAGAGGGAGGAGGUUCAAGAGUUCA
Mus pahari (shrew mouse) is the source of this 4582-nucleotide RNA transcript. It is a transcript of the gene named ubiquitin specific peptidase 20, with no coding region annotated. The transcript has 26 exons. The record is from RefSeq and is a predicted model, not a curated record. Lineage: Eukaryota; Metazoa; Chordata; Mammalia; Rodentia; Muridae.